UCCUCUUGCAGGGAAGGUACACAGAAC
This 27-nucleotide non-coding RNA is filed under the name Mus musculus (house mouse). The record is from RNAcentral. Lineage: Eukaryota; Metazoa; Chordata; Mammalia; Rodentia; Muridae.